This 2315-nucleotide long non-coding RNA is filed under the name Sus scrofa (pig). Its description in RNAcentral is "lncRNA (ENSSSCG00000062252.1)". The stretch from base 647 to 718 matches the Rfam family "Small nucleolar RNA SNORD113/SNORD114 family". The record is from RNAcentral. Lineage: Eukaryota; Metazoa; Chordata; Mammalia; Artiodactyla; Suidae.
CCUAUCUAUCUAUCUAUCUAUCUAUCUAUCUAUCUGAGAUAAUCUGUCUCUUUUAAUAUUUGUUUUGUACUCUGCAGAAUGGAUGUGCAAUGAUUCAAUUAAAGACUAUAGAACUUACGUAAGUAAUAGUCAAAGUAAUUGCUUCUGGUUUGGUGGUUUGUCAUGGAUGUUAACUCUGUUAUUGGAAGGGAAUAAAUGGCUACAUGUACAAAUUAAAUAAAUGGAGGUCGUGUGUGGGCCAGCUUAGCACAUCUGUGGUCAAUUGAGGAGAAAAAAGAAAGACUAUUUUAUUCGUUUUCAUGGUUAAUUACUCAAUUAAUGAAUUAAUGUAUAAUGUAUUAUUCAAUUUAAUAUGAGUCACAGUUGAUUUGAACCCUCCUUGUUAAAGACACAAUUUUGUCACCUUCCAACAGUAAAAUGGGCUUAAUAUGAAGUAUUAUAUUAAUUAAUCUAUGUAGGAGACAUUGUGGCCAGUUCAUGAAACACACAUAUUGUCUGUGGAAAGUAAUUCUAUGGAGAAAUGUUAGAGAUAUUCAAAGGUCUUGUUUCAAGAUUUUAUGACCUCUAGGUCUUCAUUUUAUCUUUGUUAGUGAAGUAAUGAUUUAGUAAAGACACAGCCAUGAUUGGAGAUGAUGAAGGCCAGCCCUGGACCAAUGAUGAUGACUGGUGGAGUAUGAGUCAUGAACGAUGAAUACUUGUCUGGAACUCUGAGGUCCAGCCCGAUAAGCCACCUGGUCUGCAACAUCUCUGAGAAGUUAUUCUACGGAGUGGGUGCUCCAGGUCAAUGUAAGCAUCUUCAAGAGUCCUGCUCUCUCUGGCCGCCUCAACGUGUCCGGAACAUGGAGACUGAUGUGAGUGUAGGCAAAGCUUCAUCGUGGUUUGGGUGUUUUUAAAGGGUAUCCACCGUAUUGUUGGUCCAAGGAGACCAACAGUGGUUCACUGAUAAAUAUGACGGUGUCAUGAACAUUAUGUUGAUGAAGUAAUACUUGCAAACUUAAGAGUGAUUAAAAAAGAGAUGUAGUCCACAUGGUAAAUGAUCCUAUUGAGAGCUCUUAAGGAACUUAAAGAUCGUGUGUUAAGUUUUUGCAAUUCAGUUAUUUAAUUCUUAUGGAAAGGAAGAAUUAAUCAAUAAACAAAUGAAGAAAUCAGUGGAGAAGAAGAGGGCCAGUUCUUGACCAAGGGUGACGACUGGUGGCACAUGAGUCGUAAGUCGCCCAUGGUGACUACUACGUGCUGGAAACGUUGAGGCCCAACAUAAAAACGAGACCUAGCCGAUCACCUCUGUGGGAAACGAUCCUGCAGACAGAUCUAGGAUUUAUUUCACAAGGGUCUUUUUCUGGGGUCUCCGUGCUUAUGGAUUUUGAUUCUAUUAUAGCCAAUGAAUCAAUAAAAGAAAUAAAUAAAGACGAAAAGGGGGCCAUAUCCUCCAAUUAUGAAGAAAUAUAGGAAGGCAAGAAAUAAUAUUAAAUAUUGAAACACUAAGUCAGGUAAGAAAUAAAUGGUCCAGGAGUUCCCUGGUGGUUCAGUGGGUUAAGGAUCUGGAGUUGUCACUCUUGUGACUUGGGUCACUCCUGUGGCACAGGUUCAGUCCCUAGACUGGGAACUUCCACAUGCCUUGGACCAUAAGUGGUCCAAGGGUGUUUCCUCUAGCUAGGAAUGCUGUAGAUGAUAUAAAUAAUGGCCAAUAGUAUUGUUCUGGUGUAGUGGAAAGUUCAGCGUGGCUUGUUUUCUCAGGAAAAAGUUAUAUGUUACCUCCAAUUAAUAUGUAAUAUAAUCACUGAAUAAAGAUCAAUAGAGGAAACAUCUCAAUCAUGUAAUCACCUACUCUGCUUUCUACAUUUGAUAAAAAUUUUUUUUUGAUCUUUUCAGGGCCUCACUCAUGGCAUAUGGAAGUUUCCAGGCUAGGGGUUAAAUUGGAGCUGUAGCUGUAGCUGUAGCUGCAGAGCCAUAGUGACACGGGAUCUGAGCUAUGUCUGUGACCUAUACCACAGCUUGUGGUAAUGCUGGAUCCUUAACCCACUGUGCGAGGCCAGGGAUUGAACCUGUAUCCUCAUGGAUACUAGUCGGGUUCAUUAUCACCGAGACACAAUGGGGACUCCCUACUUUCUACAUUUUAGAAUGGACACACUCAGGCUGAUUUAAGCAUGAGCCUUGGUCUACAGUCUAUGAAUUAGCCUGCACGUGAAAACCAAUGUGAGUAAAAUAUUUUAAAAAAUAUUCAGCAUGGGAGUUCCCAGGUGGCACAGCAGAUUAAGGAUCUGGCAUUGUCAUUGCUGUGGCACACAUUUGAUCCUUGGCCAGGAACUCCAAGCAUG